This is a long non-coding RNA of Marmota monax (woodchuck), 1692 nucleotides long. RefSeq lists it as uncharacterized. The record is from RefSeq and is a predicted model, not a curated record. NCBI's taxonomy places the organism in Eukaryota, Metazoa, Chordata, Mammalia, Rodentia, Sciuridae. The transcript is spliced from 3 exons.
CGCGGCUCCGGUGCGGGCCCGGCGCCGCACGGCACCCGAGUCGGGCCGGCACCGAUGCUCUGGAGACUCUCUAAGGUCUCUAUACAGCUGUGCCUUGCCGGGAGGCUCUUCGAGAGCAACGCGCCCGCGAAGUUUUCGCGGGGAGACCGGGUGCAGAGUGUCUGCGAAUCCCCAGAACUCGGGCUCUGCUGUGUAAAGGGGAUUAAGCGGGGAGGGACUCGGCAUCUUGUGGAAUGGAAGUGCCUUCCCGGGAACAUUGGCCAAGUCCUGGAGAAAGAGAAGUGUGGCUUUUACCGUGGGUGAAGUUCUGCCGCAACGCGGGUGGCGGGAACCCGGGGCGAGCUUGCCCCCUUCAGCACGUUCACCGACGCCCUGCUGGUCGAAGGUCACUUAGGGAUUUGGGGGAACGACUUGAGGGAUGAGUGGAAGAAGAGGCGUGUUCUAUUUACAAAAUAAUUAAAAAUUUUCUCCCGUCUACCAUGCCCUUGAAUAACAUCAGUUAUAUACUUCGCCCCUUCAAUUUAUAGCUAUUGGGAAAUGCCAUAGGGAAUGUGGAUCAGUGUGAAGAUUAUUAAGGAGGCAAGGAGACAAAUCCCAAAAUACUGUGUACCCUGUUAUCCCAUUUUUAAAAGUUAUCAUGUAUGGAAGGAGGCAGAAAAGACUGGGCAAAUAAUACCAAUGCUUUCACUGGGUCUCUUGGUGAUUGGUGGGAUUGUGGAUGGGUUUUCUUUUUCUGCUUAAUUCUAAUUUUUCUGUAAAGGAGACAUUAGUGUUGUAAUUUCAGGGGAAAAAAUAAAGUAAGAAAUAGUUUGGUGCUUUUCCCCUCACCCCAGUACAGAAUGGCCAGGGUAGACCCCUCUUUCCAAAGAAUAGGUAGCAAAUCUCUUUAGUUACUCAAACUCUUUAGUUACUGCAACUUUUCAUUGUUUCUUAGAGCAUGAAACAGCUGUCACUGUAAACUCAAGAGUGUGUUGAUUUUGUAAAUUGAAACUGUCUCGGAGAAGCCCACUGGGACAUUGGAUAAGACUGGACAUUCUGUAAGAACAAGUGCAUGUUCUUAUCAAGACUGACAAACCUGAUUGUAUGACUUAAGAGAUCUUUAUAACCUUAGAGUACGACUUUGUAACUUAUUCUCUUUGCAGAGAAUAAACCUUACAAAUCAAAAACACAAUCAGAACCAAUCAGUGGCCACUUGAGGAAGUCCUAAAAGUUGCAGAGCACAGACUGUUUCUAAUUGCACAGGAUUAGUAAAAAACAUCCUUGCAAAGACUGUAAAGCUGGCUUUCUAUGUCAUGAGAAAAGUCAGAAGACUGCUAAGGAAAGAAGGAAGAAAGAAGGACAUACCUAUUCAGGAAACUGAGGUGGAGAAAAGAUUGAAGAUAGCAGAGUAGAGAUUUGAACUCAGGUCUGACUUCUUAUCAGGGCUCUUCCUGCCUACACUAUCUCUCCACUUAUUAAAUGCUUCUGGGUAUUAUCCCUGCUGUGCAUCUAAGGCGUCCCUUCCCUCUACACAGGGGCCAUUCUAUGUGUUUUCUUUAUUCUACCCCCAGUGUCUUGCCUGGUGGGCACCUGCUUUUCUCUGGUGCAGGCCUCUUUCCACAUUUGUUUGCCAAGGCAGGGAGGCUGCUCUUGGGUGGAUCAUGGCUCUGUGGACAGACCCAAAAGAAAGCCGUUUUUAUUUUAUUUAUUUUU